RNAcentral lists this unclassified non-coding RNA (279 nucleotides) under Hevea brasiliensis (rubber tree). Lineage: Eukaryota; Viridiplantae; Streptophyta; Magnoliopsida; Malpighiales; Euphorbiaceae. The record is from RNAcentral.
GUCUCUUUGGGGUUGAAACAAACAUGGGAUCACUUAUUUAUAUAGCAAAAGUCAGUGUUGACUGGGGAAAGAAAGAUAUGGAUGCACCUGAAGAUGGUCUCAAGUAUAAAACAGUUCUCUCUGUUGAUGUUACCGGGAUGGGUGUUCACUUAACCUUCAGGCGGAUUGGGUCUCUUAUGUCUACAGCUUUGUCUUUCAAGCACUUACUGAAGAGUCUUUCUGGUUCUGGUAAGAAACCUCACAACCGGGUGACAAAAUCGUCCAGGCCAUCAGGGAAAG